RNAcentral lists this ribosomal RNA (411 nucleotides) under Apocephalus velutinus. RNAcentral describes it as "partial 16S ribosomal RNA". It matches the Rfam family "Bacterial large subunit ribosomal RNA", at positions 1802 to 2532 of the family's 2925-position model. The record is from RNAcentral. Lineage: Eukaryota; Metazoa; Arthropoda; Insecta; Diptera; Phoridae.
GUUUAUCAAAAACAUGGCUUUUAGAAUUUAAUUUAAAGUUUGACCUGCCCACUGAAUUAUUUUAAAUGGCCGCAGUAUUUUAACUGUGCAAAGGUAGCAUAAUCAUUAGUUUUUUAAUUGAAAGCUAGAAUGAAUGGUUGGACGAAAUAUUUACUGUUUCAUUUGUAAUGAAAAUAAAAUUUUAUUUUUUAGUUAAAAAGCUAAAAUUAAAUUAAUAGACGAGAAGACCCUAUAAAUCUUUAUAUUUUAUUGGGGUGAUAUUAAAAUUUAAUAAACUUUUAAUUAUAAGUUUACAUAAAUUAAUGAAUUAUUGAUCCAUAUAUUAUGAUUAAAAAUUUAAGUUACUUUAGGGAUAACAGCGUAAUUUUUUUAGAGAGUUCAUAUUGAUAAAAAAGAUUGCGACCUCGAUGU